This 480-nucleotide ribosomal RNA is filed under the name uncultured bacterium. Its description in RNAcentral is "bacterial LSU rRNA". It matches the Rfam family "Bacterial large subunit ribosomal RNA", at positions 689 to 1167 of the family's 2925-position model. The record is from RNAcentral.
AGGGCGCAUGAGUUCGUGGGAUCAGACCCGAAACCAGGUGAUCUAGCCAUGAGCAGGAUGAAGGUUGGGUAACACCAACUGGAGGUCCGAACCAACACCCGUUGAAAAGGGUCUGGAUGACUUGUGGCUAGGGGUGAAAGGCUAAUCAAACCUGGAGAUAGCUGGUUCUCCGCGAAAGCUAUUUAGGUAGCGCCUCGGACGAAUACCAUCGGGGGGUAGAGCACUGCAUGGAUGAUGGGGGCCCACAGCCUUACUGAGUCUAAGCAAACUCCGAAUACCGAUGAGUACUAUCCGGGAGACACACGGUGGGUGCUAACGUCCAUCGUGAAGAGGGAAACAACCCUGACCUGCAGCUAAGGCCCCUAAUUCAUGGCUAAGUGGGAAAGCAUGUGGGACGGCCAAAACAACCAGGAUGUUGGCUUAGAAGCAGCCAUCAUUAAGAUAGCGUAACAGCUCACUGGUCUAGAUAAGCUGUCCUGC